CCCGGUCUACGACUAUGACUACACGGCCACCUUCGAUUAUUACUACGUGACGGGUCUGUAUCCUGCUAAAGUCAACAACAAGGCUGCAGGGAUUGGUCAGAUCAGCCCGGUGCUCCUGCUGGGAUUGGCUGUUCAUCAGAUAUGGAACUGAAGGGGGCGGGGCCAAAGACAACCUGCAGACAGGCCGUGACCUCUGACCUCCCCUGAGGAGCCUGGAGAUCAAACUGUCGUCACACUCGGAGUUAAAGCUGUGUCUCUGCUGCCCCCUGCUGGACGCUCUCAUUAACUGUCUCUAAAAUGUUUUUCAGUCAAUUCUUUUUUCUACAAGAUU
Molecule: non-coding RNA, 331 nt
Organism: Labrus bergylta (ballan wrasse)
Lineage: Eukaryota; Metazoa; Chordata; Actinopteri; Labriformes; Labridae
Source: RefSeq, a predicted model, not a curated record